Molecule: ribosomal RNA, 864 nt
Filed under: Coriobacteriia bacterium
Lineage: Bacteria; Bacillati; Actinomycetota; Coriobacteriia
Description: bacterial SSU rRNA
Rfam family: Bacterial small subunit ribosomal RNA
Source: RNAcentral
ACGAAGAGUUUGAUCCUGGCUCAGGAUGAACGCUGGCGGCGUGCCUAACACAUGCAAGUCGAACGGUUAAGGCGGCUUCGGCCGCGUAUAAAGUGGCGAACGGGUGAGUAACGCGUGACCGACCUUCCCCCCGCACCGGGACAACCGCGGGAAACCGCGGCUGAUACCGGGUACUCCGGGGCCCCCGCAUGGGGGCCCCGGGAAAGCUCCGGCGGCGGGGGAUGGGGUCGCGUCCCAUCAGGUAGUAGGCGGGGCAACGGCCCACCUAGCCGACGACGGGUAGCCGGGUUGAGAGACCGACCGGCCACAUUGGGACUGAGAUACGGCCCAGACUCCUACGGGAGGCAGCAGUGGGGAAUUUUGCGCAAUGGGGGCAACCCUGACGCAGCAACGCCGCGUGCGGGACGACGGCCUUCGGGUUGUAAACCGCUUUCAGCAGGGAAGAACCUCUGACGGUACCUGCAGAAGAAGCCCCGGCUAACUACGUGCCAGCAGCCGCGGUAAUACGUAGGGGGCGAGCGUUAUCCGGAAUGAUUGGGCGUAAAGCGCGCGCAGGCGGCCGCUCAAGCGGGACCUCUAACCCCGGGGCUCAACCCCGGGCCGGGUCCCGAACUGGGCGGCUCGAGUGCGGUAGGGGAGAGCGGAAUUCCAAGUGUAGCGGUGAAAUGCGCAGAUAUUUGGAAGAACACCGAUGGCGAAGGCAGCUCUCUGGGCCGUCACUGACGCUGAGGCGCGAAAGCCGGGGGAGCGAACAGGAUUAGAUACCCUGGUAGUCCCGGCCGUAAACGAUGGGCGCUAGGUGUGGGGGGACAUUCCCUCCGUGCCGCAGCCAACGCAUUAAGCGCCCCGCCUGGGGAGUACGGC